This 253-nucleotide ribosomal RNA is filed under the name uncultured bacterium. RNAcentral's name for it is "partial 16S ribosomal RNA". It matches the Rfam family "Bacterial small subunit ribosomal RNA", at positions 524 to 776 of the family's 1533-position model. The record is from RNAcentral.
UACGUAGGGGGCAAGCGUUGUCCGGAUUUAUUGGGCGUAAAGAGCGUGUAGGCGGCCGCACAGGUCCGUUGUGAAAACUGGAGGCUUAACCUUCAGACGUCGAUGGAAACCGUGCGGCUAGAGUCCGGAAGAGGAGAAUGGAAUUCCUGGUGUAGCGGUGAAAUGCGCAGAUAUCAGGAAGAACACCCGUGGCUAAGGCGGUUCUCUGGGACGGUACUGACGCUGAGACGCGAAAGCGUGGGGAGCGAACAGG